RNAcentral lists this ribosomal RNA (924 nucleotides) under uncultured bacterium. Its description in RNAcentral is "bacterial SSU rRNA". It matches the Rfam family "Bacterial small subunit ribosomal RNA", at positions 555 to 1478 of the family's 1533-position model. The record is from RNAcentral.
UGGGCGUAAGGAGCGUAGGCGGAUAUUUAAGUGAGAUGUGAAAUACCCGAGCUUAACUUGGGUGCUGCAUUUCAAACUGGAUAUCUAGAGUGCGGGAGAGGAGAAUGGAAUUCCUAGUGUAGCGGUGAAAUGCGUAGAGAUUAGGAAGAACACCAGUGGCGAAGGCGAUUCUCUGGACCGUAACUGACGCUGAGGCACGAAAGCGUGGGUAGCAAACAGGAUUAGAUACCCUGGUAGUCCACGCCGUAAACGAUGAGUACUAGGUGUAGGAGGGUCCAACCUUCUGUGCCGCAGUUAACACAAUAAGUACUCCGCCUGGGAAGUACGAUCGCAAGAUUAAAACUCAAAGGAAUUGACGGGGGCCCGCACAAGCAGCGGAGCAUGUGGUUUAAUUCGAAGCAACGCGAAGAACCUUACCUGGACUUGACAUCCCCUGAAUAGCCUAGAGAUAGGUAAAGCCCUUCGGGGCAGGGAGACAGGUGGUGCAUGGUUGUCGUCAGCUCGUGUCGUGAGAUGUUAGGUUAAGUCCUGCAACGAGCGCAACCCCUAUCAUUAGUUGCUACCAUUAAGUUGAGCACUCUAGUGAGACUGCCCGGGUUAACCGGGAGGAAGGUGGGGAUGACGUCAAAUCAUCAUGCCCCUUAUGUCCAGGGCUACACACGUGCUACAAUGGUGGGUACAAAGAGAUGCAAGACCGCGAGGUGGAGCAAAACUCAAAAACCCAUCCCAGUUCGGAUUGUAGGCUGCAACUCGCCUACAUGAAGCCGGAGUUGCUAGUAAUCGCGAAUCAGAAUGUCGCGGUGAAUACGUUCCCGGGCCCUGUACACACCCGCCCGUCACACCAUUGAGAGCUGGCACACCCCGAAGUCCGUGAGGNUAACCUGCAAAGGGAGCCAGCGGCCGAANGUGGGGGUUAGNGAUUGG